GAAAACAGAAUGCUAAAUUAAGAGUUCCGAAAUCCCAUUUCACAACACACCUUCAUCCCAUGAUACUCAGAAAUUACAUGUUCACGCUAAGAUCAGUUUCGAGAGUUCUACUCACCCGAAUUCAAUUUCGUAAAGUCGUAUGGGUUUCUUAACGUCUUAGCAAUCUACUCAUAUGAUCAAAAUCAUAAUUAGAUCUCCCAUUUGUUACCAGAUUUCCCUA
Molecule: long non-coding RNA, 220 nt
Filed under: Solanum tuberosum (potato)
Lineage: Eukaryota; Viridiplantae; Streptophyta; Magnoliopsida; Solanales; Solanaceae
Description: long non-coding RNA (STUB_LNC006608)
Source: RNAcentral